GGUUCCUUAUGGCGUAGUGGUUUGAGUGCUGGUCUGACACUCUGGAGACCUGGGUUCGAUUCUCAGCUCGGCCA
Phrynosoma platyrhinos (Desert horned lizard) is the source of this 74-nucleotide non-coding RNA. The record is from the annotation of a GenBank genome assembly. NCBI's taxonomy places the organism in Eukaryota, Metazoa, Chordata, Lepidosauria, Squamata, Phrynosomatidae.